AUUGAACGCUGGCGGCAUGCUUUACACAUGCAAGUCGAACGGCAGCGCGGGCUUCGGCCUGGCGGCGAGUGGCGAACGGGUGAGUAAUGCAUCGGAACGUGCCCAGUAGUGGGGGAUAGCCCGGCGAAAGCCGGAUUAAUACCGCAUACGACCUGAGGGUGAAAGCGGGGGACCGAAAGGCCUCGCGCUAUUGGAGCGGCCGAUGUCGGAUUAGCUAGUUGGUGGGGUAAAGGCUUACCAAGGCGACGAUCCGUAGCUGGUCUGAGAGGACGACCAGCCACACUGGGACUGAGACACGGCCCAGACUCCUACGGGAGGCAGCAGUGGGGAAUUUUGGACAAUGGGGGCAACCCUGAUCCAGCCAUGCCGCGUGCGGGAAGAAGGCCUUCGGGUUAUAAACCGCUUUUGUUCGGGAAGAAAUCCUCUGGGCUAAUACCCCGGGGGGAUGACGGUACCGGAAGAAUAAGCACCGGCUAACUACGUG
This 484-nucleotide ribosomal RNA is filed under the name uncultured bacterium. RNAcentral describes it as "partial 16S ribosomal RNA". It matches the Rfam family "Bacterial small subunit ribosomal RNA", at positions 29 to 507 of the family's 1533-position model. The record is from RNAcentral.